RNAcentral lists this ribosomal RNA (116 nucleotides) under Lysinibacillus odysseyi 34hs-1 = NBRC 100172. The record is from RNAcentral. Lineage: Bacteria; Bacillati; Bacillota; Bacilli; Caryophanales; Bacillaceae.
UGAAGUGAUGAUGGCAAAGAGGCCACACCUGUUCCCAUCCCGAACACAGAAGUUAAGCUCUUUAGCGCCGAUGGUAGUUGGGGGCUUCCCCCUGCGAGAGUAGGACAUCGCUUCGC